This 253-nucleotide ribosomal RNA is filed under the name uncultured bacterium. RNAcentral's name for it is "partial 16S ribosomal RNA". It matches the Rfam family "Bacterial small subunit ribosomal RNA", at positions 524 to 776 of the family's 1533-position model. The record is from RNAcentral.
UACGUAGGGUGCAAGCGUUGUCCGGAAUUAUUGGGCGUAAAGAGCUCGUAGGCGGUUUGUCGCGUCUGCUGUGAAAGCCCGGGGCUCAACCCCGGGUCUGCAGUGGGUACGGGCAGACUAGAGUGCAGUAGGGGAGACUGGAAUUCCUGGUGUAGCGGUGAAAUGCGCAGAUAUCAGGAGGAACACCGAUGGCGAAGGCAGGUCUCUGGGCUGUUACUGACGCUGAGGAGCGAAAGCAUGGGGAGCGAACAGG